GGCGGGGCCGGGCCGCUGGGGACCCCCCGGCUGGCCUGGCGCGCGUAUAUCCGCCGGGACUCCGCUCGCUCGCCGGCACCUCUGGGACCUGCGGAGGAACUGCUCUCGCUCGGCCCCAGGUCGCAUCUUUGUGGCCGGAGGCGCACACGUGUGGCGGUCCCUGCGCGGUGAAGGGUCUUCGGCCGGCGCUCUGCUUUCGGGAAGCAUCUUGCCGGGUCCUGCCUCAGUUGAGAGAUGGCCUCUGCAGGGGCUGAAACAAAGAAACUUGGAAAUGACAAUGACUUCGUACGGCUGAGCAAUCCCCACUUAGCAACGAUGAAGGAAGACGUUCUGUACCAUUUCAGCCUCAGCACGGGCACCCACGAUUUCCCGGCUAUGUUUGGAGAUGUGAAGUUUGUGUGCGUCGGGGGAAGCCCUUCCCGGAUGAAAGCCUUCAUCCAGUACGUGGCCGUGGAGCUGGGCCUUGACGUCCCAGGCGCAGACUAUCCCAACAUCUGUGUGGGCACCGACCGCUAUGCCAUGUUUAAAGUGGGCCCGGUGCUGUCUGUCAGCCACGGGAUGGGCAUUCCCUCCAUUGCCAUCAUGCUGCACGAGCUCAUCAAGCUGCUGUACCACGCGCGGUGCUCCGGCGUCACCAUCAUCCGCAUCGGCACCUCUGGCGGGAUAGGUCAGUGUGCAGAGCACCGAGUGGAUGCGGGCGGGGAUGGGGCAGCGUGGGGCCCCAGAGCUUCUGCCUGGGCUGUGUUUGAGCAGAGCUCAGCAGCAGCAGGCAUGAAAAGAAGUGAUACAUUGUUUUGUUUGCUCAGCUACUGCUCCCAAACCACACCCCAGAAACAGGCUAGAAGAGGCACCACCAGGCCACGUGUCCUCGAAAACGCAUCCUUUAGGGAUUACACACGGGUGCCAUCUUAUUUGCUUGAUUCUCUCUUUUUAGUCUUUCUAAUCCCUCUUUUCUCUGCCUUUCUCCUCUACUUUGCUCACUCCUCCUCCCUCUUCCUGCAAGGAUUUGAAGCAGCGUAUGAGAAAACCUACAGGAAAACCAAAGGGGGAAAAGAGGUGGCAUACAAAAUUAAGAUAAGUGUCCUUAAGUUGCCUAAAAGUCCCCGGUGCUCAACAUAUAUUUUUAACAUCACAGAGACAGCAAAGAAAGCAGAGGGUGCAGUGAGAGGCGAAACGCUUAAAAUUGUGUUGCUUUUUAAGCCAAAGUCUUUGAGGCAAACUCGUUUUAUGUAAGUUGUCCUACCCUCUAACAUCCCAGUUCUGGGCUGGACUUUUGUCUAAAAACUGGCUUCUAGCAAUUCUCACUCCUGCCAAGGAGCUGGGAGCUGCUGGAGGGAGGCUUGCUAUUGUCGGCCCGGCCUCUGUGCAUUUGUUGCUGAUGGUCCAGGCCUGACCUCCCCUGCAUCUAUAGGGUAAUUCUAAAAUUCAGGUUUACUCACUAUGAAAGCGGAUUGCUGAGGACCCUGAAUCUUCUGGCUACAUGAUCUCAUUUUUCCUUUCACUGUGUAGGCAGAUUGACAUGUAAAAUUGGCGUUUGUGGAUUGCAAUGUGAAGUUUAAAGGGGUUCUUUGGAGAACAUCCCAAUGGCCAUGAACUCCUUGGUCCGAUACAUUUAAUCUGUGAUGCCAUCGACCGAUGGACUCCCAGCUGUGCACAUGGCACCAGCAUUGGCCAGGACCUCUAGCAAAUCCUUCUUGAGUUCUUGCUUCGGAGAGAUUUUAAAACCAAUACUCAAGGAGUUUCCGCUGAUUCUGUUCAGUGGAUUAUGAACCUGACAUAGCAUCCAUAAGGAUGUGAAGUUUGAUCCCUGGCCUCAAUCUGUGGUUUAAGAAUCCGGCCUUGCCAUGGCUGUGGCAUAGGCUGCAGCUGCGGCUCUGAUUCAGCCCCUGGCUCUGGGAAUUUCCAUAUGCCGCAGGUGUAGCCGUAAAAAGAAAAAAAGUACAAUAAAUAAAUAAAUAGUAAAUUAGACAAUCAGAGGGAAUUCUGAAAAGGAUAGGGUGGGUUUCAAGUUGCCCAAAAUUGCCCUCAUAAGAAUGGGCCCAACAACUAGAGAGACAGACCCCAAACCCUGACAGUAUUGGUGGCAGAGUGUGCCAUGGCAUCCCCACAAACCCCAAAAUAGGAACAGAGGGCGGGUGGCUUAUGGGCCCCUGCCCGGGAGGAAGCACAGGGCGACUCCAGGGUUUCUGACGGACUUGAGAUUGUGCAGCGGCCCACAGGUGUCCCGGAGAAGGGUGGGGCCUGUGUGAGGAGCAGCAGCUGCCAGAAGCGGGUCUGCAGCCUCCACUUUGAGGUCUGAAGGGGCUUGAAAAUUCUAGGCCCCAUGAAUUCCUGAAAGCCAUCGUCUGAGCUUUCAUCCAGGCCCUAACUCCUUGUGGGGAGAAAGCCGAAGAAGGUCUGUGUUGACCAGAGAAGGAAAGCAGCUGGGGAGAGAAAGUCCAGAUAAACACGCAGGCGGCCCAGCAGAGCCAGAGCCUGACAACUGGCUCCAAUCUGCUAACAUUUCACGAAAGCAGCUGGUGUGGGGCCUUUGGAACAGAUCAUCUCCAGGCUUCUCCUUCCUUCCUAAAGGUUUAGAAAAACUGAUAUCCCGUUAAAGUAAGUGUGGCGAGGCCGUGGGUCAAACCCCACGCAUGUAGUGGAAGACCAGAGACCGAGGAGCAGAACACUGUCCCUACAAGCAAGAAACCCCAGGAAGGCACAGGAAGCAGAACCUGGAGGGAAAUGAGGCCAUCAGGAGCUGGGCACUGCUGGAGCCGGGUCUUGUCUACUUCUGUAUUUACCUGGCACCUUAAAUAAUCAAAAGGUACAAACCAGGGACCAGUCAGAGUUCUCACUGUGGCGCAGCAGGAUCCAUGGCAUCUCUACAGCAGCCAGGGCACGGGUUCUAUCCCCAGCCUGGCACUGGCACUGCCACAGCUGUGGUGUAGGUCCAGCGGCAGUUCUGAUCUGAUCCCUGGCCUGGGAAUGCCAUAUGCUUUGGGGUGGCCAGAAAUGAAAAAAUAAAAACAGAACCAGCUGCACACAUUCUGGAAAGGGAGCACUGGACACUGAAAACAGCAGGAACUAGGAAACCACAAGCACUUGGUGGGCAUGGGACGCCCUGGCAAUGUCACCUUUUGCACUUUGCCAUGUUUUCUGUAUUGCCUGUGCACGUCUUACCUUUAUCAUCUGAAAAAACAAACAAACAAAAAACCCAAAAUCGGAUGCAGAAAGAGAUCCUUGCCUGUUUCUUUCUAGAAGAAAUCCCCCAGUGUUUCCGGGCACGGACAGGUCCCUUUCCUUCUUGCCCGAGCAUUCCUGUGCCCCUUGGCAGCCUGGACACCUGCUUGUUCCUUUCAGGUCUGGAGCCUGGCUCUGUGGUCAUCACCCGGCAGGCGGUGGACCCCUGCUUCAAGCCAGAGUUCGAGCAGGUGGUCCUCGGGAAGCGGGUGGUCCGCAGCACCCACCUGGAUGAGCCGCUGAUGGAGGAGCUGGCGCAGUGCUCCGCGGACCUGGGCGAGUUCCCCACGGUGGUGGGCAACACCAUGUGCACCCUGGACUUCUACGAAGGGCAAGGCCGCCUGGACGGCGCUCUCUGCUCCUACGCGGAGAAGGAUAAGCGGGAGUACCUGAACGCGGCCCACGCAGCUGGCGUGCGCAACAUCGAGAUGGAAUCGUCUGUCUUCGCCGCCAUGUGCAACGCCUGUGGCCUCCGAGCGGCGGUGGUGUGUGUCACCCUCCUCAACCGCCUGGAAGGCGACCAGAUCAGCAGCCCCCACGAGGUGCUGGUCGAGUACCAGCAGCGGCCCCAGCGGCUGGUGGGCCACUUCAUCAAGAAGCGCCUCUCAGCAGCCUGAGGUCCCUCGUCUCUGGACAUGAGUGGUGUUAUUGCUGCAAAUAAAAUCAUCACCACAA
Molecule: non-coding RNA, 3897 nt
Organism: Sus scrofa (pig)
Lineage: Eukaryota; Metazoa; Chordata; Mammalia; Artiodactyla; Suidae
Source: RefSeq, a predicted model, not a curated record